GGCUCAGGAUGAACGCUAGCUACAGGCUUAACACAUGCAAGUCGAGGGGCAGCAUUUUAGUUUGCUUGCAAACUGAAGAUGGCGACCGGCGCACGGGUGAGUAACACGUAUCCAACCUGCCGAUAACUCCGGAAUAGCCUUUCGAAAGAAAGAUUAAUACCGGAUAGCAUACGAAUAUCGCAUGAUAUUUUUAUUAAAGAAUUUCGGUUAUCGAUGGGGAUGCGUUCCAUUAGUUUGUUGGCGGGGUAACGGCCCACCAAGACUACGAUGGAUAGGGGUUCUGAGAGGAAGGUCCCCCACAUUGGAACUGAGACACGGUCCAAACUCCUACGGGAGGCAGCAGUGAGGAAUAUUGGUCAAUGGGCGAGAGCCUGAACCAGCCAAGUAGCGUGAAGGAUGAAGGCUCUAUGGGUCGUAAACUUCUUUUAUAUGGGAAUAAAGUUUUCCACGUGUGGAAUUUUGUAUGUACCAUAUGAAUAAGGAUCGGCUAACUCCGUGCCAGCAGCCGCGGUAAUACGGAGGAUCCGAGCGUUAUCCGGAUUUAUUGGGUUUAAAGGGAGCGUAGGUGGAUUGUUAAGUCAGUUGUGAAAGUUUGCGGCUCAACCGUAAAAUUGCAGUUGAAACUGGCAGUCUUGAGUACAGUAGAGGUGGGCGGAAUUCGUGGUGUAGCGGUGAAAUGCUUAGAUAUCACGAAGAACUCCGAUUGCGAAGGCAGCUCACUAGACUGUCACUGACACUGAUGCUCGGAAGUGUGGGUAUCAAACAGGAUUAGAUACCCUGGUAGUCCACACAGUAAACGAUGAAUACUCGCUGUUUGCGAUAUACAGUAAGCGGCCAAGCGAAAGCAUUAAGUAUUCCACCUGGGGAGUACGCCGGCAACGGUGAAACUCAAAGGAAUUGACGGGGGCCCGCACAAGCGGAGGAACAUGUGGUUUAAUUCGAUGAUACGCGAGGAACCUUACCCGGGCUUAAAUUGCAACAGAAUAUAUUGGAAACAGUAUAGCCGUAAGGCUGUUGUGAAGGUGCUGCAUGGUUGUCGUCAGCUCGUGCCGUGAGGUGUCGGCUUAAGUGCCAUAACGAGCGCAACCCUUAUCUUUAGUUACUAACAGGUCAUGCUGAGGACUCUAGAGAGACUGCCGUCGUAAGAUGUGAGGAAGGUGGGGAUGACGUCAAAUCAGCACGGCCCUUACGUCCGGGGCUACACACGUGUUACAAUGGGGGGUACAGAAGGCGGCUACCUGGUGACAGGAUGCUAAUCCCAAAAACCCCUCUCAGUUCGGAUCGAAGUCUGCAACCCGACUUCGUGAAGCUGGAUUCGCUAGUAAUCGCGCAUCAGCCAUGGCGCGGUGAAUACGUUCCCGGGCCUUGUACACACCGCCCGUCAAGCCAUGAAAGCCGGGGGUACCUGAAGUACGUAACCGCAAGGAGCGUCCUAGGGUAAAACUGGUAA
This 1450-nucleotide ribosomal RNA is filed under the name uncultured organism. Its description in RNAcentral is "SSU rRNA". It matches the Rfam family "Bacterial small subunit ribosomal RNA". The record is from RNAcentral.